This 284-nucleotide long non-coding RNA is filed under the name Nicotiana benthamiana. RNAcentral's name for it is "long non-coding RNA (NBEN_LNC024474)". Lineage: Eukaryota; Viridiplantae; Streptophyta; Magnoliopsida; Solanales; Solanaceae. The record is from RNAcentral.
CUUGAUUGCUUGAAUCUCCUCGUCCAUGGCACGUUUCCACUUCUCGCUUUUUACUGUGUCUUCAUAGCUUAUUGGCUCACAAUCGGCAAGAAGGCAGAACAAUGUUAGAUUCUCCAUAGGCUGAGUUACCUCGCACAACUCCUCAAUGCUCCUUGUGCGAUGUUGUAGCCUACUUGAUUCUCCUCCUGAUGUUGGUGUCGCUUCAUUUGGUGUGGUUAGAGUAUGUGGAGAGUGCGGAGAUGGUGUACUAGAUGGUUCUUGAACCUCUAGAUAUUCUUCGUUCC